CUUAUGCGUUGUUGGGUAGGGGAGCGUUCUGUAAGCCUGCGAAGGUGUGCUGUGAGGCAUGCUGGAGGUAUCAGAAGUGCGAAUGCUGACAUAAGUAACGAUAAAGCGGGUGAAAAGCCCGCUCGCCGGAAGACCAAGGGUUCCUGUCCAACGUUAAUCGGGGCAGGGUGAGUCGACCCCUAAGGCGAGGCCGAAAGGCGUAGUCGAUGGGAAACAGGUUAAUAUUCCUGUACUUGGUGUUACUGCGAAGGGGGGACGGAGAAGGCUAUGUUGGCCGGGCGACGGUUGUCCCGGUUUAAGCGUGUAGGCUGGUUUUCCAGGCAAAUCCGGAAAAUCAAGGCUGAGGCGUGAUGACGAGGCACUACGGUGCUGAAGCAACAAAUGCCCUGCUUCCAGGAAAAGCCUCUAAGCAUCAGGUAACAUCAAAUCGUACCCCAAACCGACACAGGUGGUCAGGUAGAGAAUACCAAGGCGCUUGAGAGAACUCGGGUGAAGGAACUAGGCAAAAUGGUGCCGUAACUUCGGGAGAAGGCACGCUGAUAUGUAGGUGAAGUCCCUCGCGGAUGGAGCUGAAAUCAGUCGAAGAUACCAGCUGGCUGCAACUGUUUAUUAAAAACACAGCACUGUGCAAACACGAAAGUGGACGUAUACGGUGUGACGCCUGCCCGGUGCCGGAAGGUUAAUUGAUGGGGUCAGCGCAAGCGAAGCUCUUGAUCGAAGCCCCGGUAAACGGCGGCCGUAACUAUAACGGUCCUAAGGUAGCGAAAUUCCUUGUCGGGUAAGUUCCGACCUGCACGAAUGGCGUAAUGAUGGCCAGGCUGUCUCCACCCGAGACUCAGUGAAAUUGAACUCGCUGUGAAGAUGCAGUGUACCCGCGGCAAGACGGAAAGACCCCGUGAACCUUUACUAUAGCUUGACACUGAACAUUGAGCCUUGAUGUGUAGGAUAGGUGGGAGGCUUUGAAGUGUGGACGCCAGUCUGCAUGGAGCCGACCUUGAAAUACCACCCUUUAAUGUUUGAUGUUCUAACGUGGACCCGUGAUCCGGGUUGCGGACAGUGUCUGGUGGGUAGUUUGACUGGGGCGGUCUCCUCCUAAAGAGUAACGGAGGAGCACGAAGGUUGGCUAAUCCUGGUCGGACAUCAGGAGGUUAGUGCAAUGGCAUAAGCCAGCUUGACUGCGAGCGUGACGGCGCGAGCAGGUGCGAAAGCAGGUCAUAGUGAUCCGGUGGUUCUGAAUGGAAGGGCCAUCGCUCAACGGAUAAAAGGUACUCCGGGGAUAACAGGCUGAUACCGCCCAAGAGUUCAUAUCGACGGCGGUGUUUGGCACCUCGAUGUCGGCUCAUCACAUCCUGGGGCUGAAGUAGGUCCCAAGGGUAUGGCUGUUCGCCAUUUAAAGUGGUACGCGAGCUGGGUUUAGAACGUCGUGAGACAGUUCGGUCCCUAUCUGCCGUGGGCGCUGGAGAACUGAGGGGGGCUGCUCCUAGUACGAGAGGACCGGAGUGGACGCAUCACUGGUGUUCGGGUUGUCAUGCCAAUGGCACUGCCCGGUAGCUAAAUGCGGAAGAGAUAAGUGCUGAAAGCAUCUAAGCACG
RNAcentral lists this ribosomal RNA (1592 nucleotides) under Escherichia coli. Its description in RNAcentral is "partial 23S ribosomal RNA". It matches the Rfam family "Bacterial large subunit ribosomal RNA", at positions 1213 to 2789 of the family's 2925-position model. The record is from RNAcentral. Lineage: Bacteria; Pseudomonadati; Pseudomonadota; Gammaproteobacteria; Enterobacterales; Enterobacteriaceae.